RNAcentral lists this ribosomal RNA (468 nucleotides) under uncultured bacterium. RNAcentral describes it as "partial 16S ribosomal RNA". It matches the Rfam family "Bacterial small subunit ribosomal RNA", at positions 28 to 507 of the family's 1533-position model. The record is from RNAcentral.
GACGAACGCUGGCGGCGUGCUUAACACAUGCAAGUCGAACGGAAAGGCCCUGCUUUUGUGGGGUGCUCGAGUGGCGAACGGGUGAGUAACACGUGAGUAACCUGCCCUUGACUUUGGGAUAACUUCAGGAAACUGGGGCUAAUACCGGAUAGGAGCUCCUGCUGCAUGGUGGGGGUUGGAAAGUUUCGGCGGUUGGGGAUGGACUCGCGGCUUAUCAGCUUGUUGGUGGGGUAGUGGCUUACCAAGGCUUUGACGGGUAGCCGGCCUGAGAGGGUGACCGGCCACAUUGGGCGGGAGGAGGGGGCAGGAGGGCGACGGGGGGAAGGGGGGGGGAAUGGUGCAAAGGGGGCGGAGGCUGGAAGCAGCAACGCCGGGGGGGGGAGCACGGCCUGCGGUUUGGAACCCGCGUGCGCCUGGGACGAAGGGUGAGUGACGGUAAGGGGCAAAAAAGCACCGGCUAACUACGUG